GUGAGGAAUUUUCCGCAAUGGGCGAAAGCCUGACGGAGCAAUGCCGCGUGAAGGAUGAAGGCCUAUGGGUUGUAAACUUCUUUUCUCAGAAAAGAAUUAUGACGGUAUCUGAGGAAUAAGCAUCGGCUAACUCUGUGCCAGCAGCCGCGGUAAGACAGAGGAUGCAAGCGUUAUCCGGAAUGAUUGGGCGUAAAGCGUCUGUAGGUUGUUUAAAAAGUAUUCUGUCAAAGAUUAGGGCUUAACCCUAGAUAGGCAGAAUAAAAUGUUAAGCUAGAGUGUGGUAGGGGCAGAGGGAAUUCCCGGUGGAGCGGUGAAAUGCGUAGAUAUCGGGAGGAACACCAAAGGCGAAGGCACUCUGCUGGGCCAAUACUAACACUGAGAGACGAAAGCGAGGGGAGCAAAUGGGAUUAGAAACCCGAGUAGUCC
This 426-nucleotide ribosomal RNA is filed under the name uncultured bacterium. RNAcentral's name for it is "bacterial SSU rRNA". It matches the Rfam family "Bacterial small subunit ribosomal RNA", at positions 354 to 796 of the family's 1533-position model. The record is from RNAcentral.